GACGAACGCUGGCGGCGUGCCUAAUACAUGCAAGUUGAGCGCUGAAGGUUGGUACUUGUACCAACUGGAUGAGCAGCGAACGGGUGAGUAACGCGUGGGGAAUCUGCCUUUGAGCGGGGGACAACAUUUGGAAACGAAUGCUAAUACCGCAUAAAAACUUUAAACACAAGGUGGAAGUUUGAAAGAUGCAAUUGCAUCACUCAAAGAUGAUCCCGCGUUGUAUUAGCUAGUUGGUGAGGUAAAGGCUCACCAAGGCGAUGAUACAUAGCCGACCUGAGAGGGUGAUCGACCACCUUGGGACUGAGGCACGGCCCAAACCCCUACGGGGGGCAGCAGUAGGGAAUCUUCGGCCAUGGACGAAAGUCUGACCGCGCACCGCCGCGUGGGUGAAGGAGGUUUUCGGAUCGUAAAACUCUGUUCGUAGAGAAGAACGUUGGUGAGGGUGGAACCCUCAUCAAGUGACGGUACCUACACAGAAAGCGACGGCUAACUCCGUG
Molecule: ribosomal RNA, 497 nt
Filed under: uncultured bacterium
Lineage: Bacteria
Description: partial 16S ribosomal RNA
Rfam family: Bacterial small subunit ribosomal RNA
Source: RNAcentral